RNAcentral lists this long non-coding RNA (589 nucleotides) under Trifolium pratense (red clover). RNAcentral's name for it is "long non-coding RNA (TPRA_LNC010437)". Lineage: Eukaryota; Viridiplantae; Streptophyta; Magnoliopsida; Fabales; Fabaceae. The record is from RNAcentral.
UCUCCGCUUCUUCUUUCUCUCUCCACACUUCUUUUCCUCAAACAAAAAAAAAAAAAACAAAACAAAAACUCUUCUUUUCAGACUCUUCUUAUUCUUAUCAAAAGAAAGAACAACAAAAUUAGGGUUUUCCAUUCGGGAAAAAUAUAAAAUUGAUGUAAAAAUUAAUCGUAGAAACACGGUUGUCAAUGAUAAUAUGAGGCGCAUCACCGUCGGCUAUCGAGAUUCCUGUUCUUCUCAAUUCUCUGAUGCUUAUCCUAAAAGGUUAUAAUCCUUGAAGAUCCAUCUCUAUUUUAGCGAUUUUCAAAAUUUGCACAGAUUAAGAUAGUUAUAUUUAUAUAGUUCUUUUUCGUUGAUGAGUAUGUAUGUUUGUUUAUUAAUUAAUUUAUAGAGAAAAUAGAUGAAGAAAAAUCAUUAUUUUACAUAGUUUGGGUUUGUUGAUAUUUUUUAUUUGUUUUUUGUUUCCUCACAAAUUGAAUUGAUAAAUAUAGGGGUUUGAUGGAAGGGAGAUAUAGUGGGGAUUGAUAUGAUGAUGAUGAAGUUGUUUAUAAGUAUGUUACUGUUUUGUUGAAUUAUUUUUGGGAUGGCAAUA